AAUCUUACUUAAAUACUCUAAGGGCGCAACAAUCAUUUAUUAGGCACCGGAAUCCGAUGUCACCCAUUCGGUUGUACAUGAAAGACUAGUUUUCAGUAUGGAUGCCAAGCUUGCUAUUUUGCUUUCUUUGUUCGCGUGUGUGCUCAACAGCAUCGGCCAGGCGAUCCCUUACUGGCUUGUUGCCUCAAUAUCUGAAGCCGGACUGUCCGCCAGCGUCAAUAUGGGUCUAUGGUCAGUGUGCGUCCAUUGGGACAUUCCGGGUGCGAAUAUUGACAAGUGUCUCGCCCAGUGGGAUAACCGCGACCAUUCUGUCCCCAGAUACAUUAUAGAGGCGGGGUACAUUGAGAUCGGGGCCUCAAUCCUGAUGUUCAGCUCAACAAUAUAUGGAGUCGUACGGACUGUCAUACACACCCCAACAGUCGUUUACACCACGAGAGAAUCAGGAGUCAUAUGCAUCUUAGCAGGUAUUAUGGCUCUAGCGGGGUGCAUAGUGUUCGCAUCCGAGACCAUUGCGGGCUAUUACUAUCACGUGGGGUUCGCGUUGUGUAUCGUGGCCGGAUUGAUAAGCAUAAUCAGCGGGAUACUUUACUUGUUAGCUAGAAAGGACACGCAGGACAUGCAGGACAUUCAAUUCACGCGGUUCGCUUGAAAACUUGUGAAACUAGUGAAUUUGCGCUAUUUAUACUUAACUAUAUAUUCAUAUAGUUUUGUUCAUCCAGAAAAAUACUAUUUAACUACAAUUUUUAGUUGAUCGAUGUAUAAGAAUGUAUAAUGUCAUUGUUAACAUGCGUUUUGGAGAGCCGUUGUAUAUUCUAUUUUGUUACAUAAAUUUCUCUUUCAAUUUUUUGGUCAAGCAUUAAGGUUUCUUUUUUUUAGUUGACACAUCUAUUUUGAAGUUAGUUGUCGCUUCAUGUAUAUUUUCUUCACUUAAAUGAAAAUGGAAACUUAUGAUGAGUUACGGGCUGGAUUUUAAAAGUGGCUAUAUCCGGGUGCAGGAUUAACGGUUUUUCAGGGGUUUUCACACGGGCUGAACAGAAUAAAAACACACCGUUAAGAACUUAAUAAGUAUUGAAAUACAUUUAAAAAAAUAUUUUGUGCAUAAAAGACUGUUUUUCUUCCAGUGUGUGCCGAUAUCUUAAGAUUUAAGAAUAAAUGCUUAAAUACGUCUGAAAUCGGUGCCAAACGUUCACGUUGCGUGAAGCAUAAGCGCGUACAUGAAUGCUGUACACAGGCCAAGAACACAAGGCUUAUUAAAUAACGUUAUUCUGAUGUAUUUCAUAUCGCCAUAAGCAGCAUAAAAAGUGUCUUUAUGAAGUUGAAAUUCUUACCGGUGUGUUAAAAUCCAUACAGGUUUAAUUGUGAACCCCACAACGUCACGUGAGUCUGCACCCUGUAUAUGCUGAUCGAGUUAAAAAUCGAUAAAUAAAACGCUUAUUAACAUAAAUCGUAACAUUAUUAUCUUACAUUUAAAUAAGAAAUCGACUUUGCAUGAACGGUCUUAAUAAUAUUUCUCAGAUACCAAAAAGUCCUUGCCUUUCCAUUAAAGAGCCAUUGCUACAUACUACUUAAUGAUUUUUCAUUGACCUCAUCGCGAUGAAUUAUGUUUUCUUGAGAUUUCACACAAGGUGUUUCGCCCGACCAUAUGUACUGUAGCAGCUUUAAUAACAGGAGUUUCUUCAAGAGGAAUGCCUUAUUUCAUGUCUUAACCUGCACUAAUAGACAAACAUAUUAUUAUUACAGGCGAUUUAAAGUGAUAUAAGUCGCAUCUAGCAUUAUAUAGGUGUCUAUCGCAACCGUUGUUAAUUUUUGGUGUUUUCACUUCACAUACACUUAUAUUUGUUAAUGCAGCAUCAACAUACUAAAACAAUAUCCCGGAAAGAGAAAAAUGAUAAUGCAUUUGAAUAUCAACCGUACUUUCGUUUUGACGUAUGUUUUGGUUAGUUCAAAAUCUAGUGCACACCGCGGAAACUUAUGACAAUUCUGAAAUUGUGAAUAAAUUUACCUUCGUGUCUCUCUCAACCACAUCUUUGGCCAUACUUCUUCAAAGAUAUGUUAUAAAUGAGGUGUCAGUGAAUUGACUUAAAGACUCAAAUCGUUUCGCUUUCGUAAAUACGCGGCAGUUCCGCUCGGCUAGUUAAGCUUACAGGACUGGGUUAGUCACGUAAACUAUCGAAUAUAAUAUAUAUGUUUAUAAACAACUGGUAGCAAGAUGAGUUUCAGAUAACAUUCAGUUACCACAUUUUAACUAACUCUUUUGACCUGUUUAUUCUCUUCAGCUAAAUUCAACAGUGAAAAAUGCGUCUAAUAUCACUCUAAACUUCCACCUGACAUUUAAAACGUCUCAUAUUCAUCCUCAAUUAAAAAGCACAUUGUAGAUAGAAUUACCUUAAACGCGUAUUAAAAAUGUCUUUAUUUCAAAGAUUGUAGAAAGGGUAGUCAGUAGUCGUCUACAAGAUAAUUUGACACAGAAAAAUCUUCACGAAAAACAUGUAUAGUAGCUCGGAGAAUUAGCAUAAAAAUCUUGCAAAUCUGUAAGCAAGCAUGAAAUUUUGCAUGAACACUCAGUUUGAUAUGCACUUUUGAUAGAAAUCGUUAGCCAUUCAAAAAUUCAAAAUGGCGGUCAUUUUCUAGAUGGCCGCCAUUUCCGAUUCAGAGAAUCUUUAAUUCUCAUGUUUGUAUUUUAUGUAUUAUUUUAUGAAUACAACAUGUUUGUUGAUUGUGUUUGCACCAUGAUACCGAAA
Dreissena polymorpha is the source of this 2741-nucleotide RNA transcript. RefSeq lists it as uncharacterized. The record is from RefSeq and is a predicted model, not a curated record. Lineage: Eukaryota; Metazoa; Mollusca; Bivalvia; Myida; Dreissenidae. The transcript has 4 exons.